Molecule: long non-coding RNA, 347 nt
Filed under: Nicotiana tabacum (common tobacco)
Lineage: Eukaryota; Viridiplantae; Streptophyta; Magnoliopsida; Solanales; Solanaceae
Description: long non-coding RNA (NTAB_LNC002454)
Source: RNAcentral
CUUUAAGGACUCUAGCUAGUGGGGAACACCAUCGAUGACCUCAUCAGCAAAGUAAUAGCAAGACCCACAAACAGAUUAAUCAGUCGUCUGAUUCUCCGGUAGCAGAAGCCGUCGCCGAUCACCGCUAUAAAUUUAUUCUGUCGCCAUAGCUACAAUCUAAGAUAGUAUUUUGUCAGCUUACUAAGGAGCAUGUAUUUUUGGAAAAAGUAAAAAUAAAAGAGGAUAGAGCUCGGAUCAGACAAGUGGUCUCUUCACUUCUUGGUGGCUUCACACGUGUCGCCAUUCUUAUCCAUUUGAAGCUCCACUUCCCAUACAGAGUCACACAGUCCAAUCUAUUCUAAACAGGC